RNAcentral lists this ribosomal RNA (491 nucleotides) under uncultured bacterium. RNAcentral's name for it is "partial 16S ribosomal RNA". It matches the Rfam family "Bacterial small subunit ribosomal RNA", at positions 29 to 507 of the family's 1533-position model. The record is from RNAcentral.
GUGCACGCUGGCGGUAGGCCUAACCCAUGCAAGUCGAACGGCAGCACAGUAAGAGCUUGCUCUUACGGGUGGCGAGUGGCGGACGGGUGAGGAAUACAUCGGAAUCUACUUUUUCGUGGGGGAUAACGUAGGGAAACUUACGCUAAUACCGCAUACGACCUACGGGUGAAAGCAGGGGCUCUUCGGACCUUGCGCGAUUGAAUGAGCCGAUGUCGGAUUAGCUAGUUGGCGGGGUAAAGGCCCACCAAGGCGACGAUCCGUAGCUGGUCUGAGAGGAUGAUCAGCCACACUGGAACUGAGACACGGUCCAGACUCCUACGGGAGGCAGCAGUGGGGAAUAUUGGACAAUGGGCGCAAGCCUGAUCCAGCCAUACCGCGUGGGUGAAGAAGGCCUUCGGGUUGUAAAGCCCUUUUGUUGGGAAAGAAAAGCAGCAGGUUAAUACCCCGCUGUUCUGACGGUACCCAAAGAAUAAGCACCGGCUAACUUCGUG